GAUGAACGCUAGCGGCAGGCCUAAUACAUGCAAGUCGAACGGUGGUAGCAAUACCAUAGUGGCGCACGGGUGCGUAACGCGUAACCAACCUGCCUGGAUCUGGGGGGUAGCCCGCCGAAAGGCGGAUUAAUACCGCAUAAGCCACGAGAGCGGCAUCGCUUUUUUGGUAAAGAUUUAUUGGAUUCAGAUGGGGUUGCGUAGCAUUAGCUAGUUGGCGGGGUAACGGCCCACCAAGGCGACGAUGCUUAGGGGACCUGAGAGGGUGAUCCCCCACACUGGCACUGAGAUACGGGCCAGACUCCUACGGGAGGCAGCAGUAGGGAAUAUUGGGCAAUGGGCGAGAGCCUGACCCAGCCAUGCCGCGUGCCGGAUGAAGGCCUUCUGGGUUGUAAACGGCUUU
RNAcentral lists this ribosomal RNA (400 nucleotides) under bacterium Ellin5076. Its description in RNAcentral is "bacterial SSU rRNA". It matches the Rfam family "Bacterial small subunit ribosomal RNA", at positions 28 to 436 of the family's 1533-position model. The record is from RNAcentral. Lineage: Bacteria; Pseudomonadati; Bacteroidota; Cytophagia; Cytophagales; Cytophagaceae.